UACGUAGGGUGCGAGCGUUGUCCGGAAUUAUUGGGCGUAAAGGGCUCGUAGGCGGUUUGUCGCGUCGGGAGUGAAAUCACUGGGCUUAACCGAGUGCUUGCUUUCGAUACGGGCAGACUUGAGGCAUUGAGGGGAGAACGGAAUUCCUGGUGUAGCGGUGAAAUGCGCAGAUAUCAGGAGGAACACCGGUGGCGAAGGCGGUUCUCUGGCAAUGUUCUGACGCUGAGGAGCGAAAGUGUGGGGAGCGAACAGG
This 253-nucleotide ribosomal RNA is filed under the name uncultured bacterium. Its description in RNAcentral is "partial 16S ribosomal RNA". It matches the Rfam family "Bacterial small subunit ribosomal RNA", at positions 524 to 776 of the family's 1533-position model. The record is from RNAcentral.